UACGGAGGGUGCAAGCGUUAAUCGGAAUUACUGGGCGUAAAGCGUACGCAGGCGGUCAUUCAAGUCAGAUGUGAAAUCCCCGAGCUUAACUUGGGAACUGCAUCUGAGACUGCAUGGCUAGAGUCUUGUAGAGGGGGAUAGAAUUCCAUGUGUAGCAGUGAAAUGCGUAGAGAUGUGGAGGAAUACCAAUGGCGAAGGCAACCCCCUGGACAAAGACUGACGCUCAUGUGCGAAAGCGUGGGGAGCAAACAGG
RNAcentral lists this ribosomal RNA (253 nucleotides) under uncultured bacterium. Its description in RNAcentral is "partial 16S ribosomal RNA". It matches the Rfam family "Bacterial small subunit ribosomal RNA", at positions 524 to 776 of the family's 1533-position model. The record is from RNAcentral.